CCUACGGGUGGCAGCAGUGAGGAAUAUUGGUCAAUGGGCGAGAGCCUGAACCAGCCAAGUCGCGUGAGGGAGUACUGCCCUAUGGGUUGUAAACCUCUUUUGUCGGGGAGCAAAAGCCGGACGUGUCCGGCUGUGAGAGUACCCGAAGAAAAAGCAUCGGCUAACUCCGUGCCAGCAGCCGCGGUAAUACGGAGGAUGCGAGCGUUAUCCGGUUUUAUUGGGUUUAAAGGGUGCGCAGGCGGAUUUUUAAGUCAGUGGUAAAAUCGUGGGGCUCAACCCCAUCCAGCCGUUGAAACUGGGGAUCUAGAGAGUGCGAGAGGUAUGCGGAAUGCGUGGUGUAGCGGUGAAAUGCAUAGAUAUCACGCAGAACCCCGAUUGCGAAGGCAGCAUACCGGUGCACAACUGACGCUCAGGCACGAAAGCGUGGGUAUCGAACAGGAUUAGAUACCCCUGUAGUC
RNAcentral lists this ribosomal RNA (458 nucleotides) under uncultured bacterium. RNAcentral's name for it is "partial 16S ribosomal RNA". It matches the Rfam family "Bacterial small subunit ribosomal RNA", at positions 338 to 795 of the family's 1533-position model. The record is from RNAcentral.